AAUGAGAACAACCACAGUGCUUCCAUCCUGGGAUGAAUAUUAGUUGGAGUAAGACACAGGAAGCUCUCGGCACAGCCAGAAGCACAGAGGAGGUGCUCGGUAGCCCACCUGGGAGGAAUUUUCCAGAGAUCACUGUCUGAUGACCCUGUCUUGGAAUUGGAGCCAUGCAAGUUACACUGACCAUGUUUGGGUUGGGAUAUUGAGGAGGUUAUGGUUAAAAGCAUACGAUGGGAGACCAUAUCGUACUUGCGAGUGAGACCCGGCUGGAGGAAUGUUUUAAUUCUUCGGAAAUACCAAGUGGUCUCUAGAUGGGUUUUCACUAUUUUUCCCAGGCUAGUCUCCAACUUCUGGGCUCAAGCGAUCCACCCGCCUCGGCCUCCUAAGUCCUAGGAUUAUAGGUAUGAGCCACUGCGCCUGGCCUUUUUGCCUUUUGAAAGUAUCUGUUGUUAACAAUAUUCAAUUGGGUUGAACCUUGCUAGGGACCAAGGUGAAUUUGCAUAAAUUAGUCUAUGCCAAUUUGCAUACUAUCAGCAAAUUUGUAGUGUACAGAAUUUUGGAAAUAGAAGGAAGCUAAGAGGGGUGUCAAAUGCAGCUUCUUCUUUUUUUACCUGAAAAGAAACCGAAGUCCAGCUCAGGGAAGGUCACACAGCUAAUUCUUAUCAUGGGGAGACAGACCCAGGGACAUCAUGGUGCCUCCGAGAUUAGUACAGCCCCUCAAACAUCCCCAUUUUCUGUCCCUAGCCCAUUGAAACCCCUUAAACUUGGUCCCUCGAGCUCAGGUGAUAGCACACAUGAUGGAAAAUAGGCAGGCUUGCCAUUGAAGCUCCAACCUAGCUCUGCAACACAUCAGCUGUGUGACCUCGAGCAAAUCACUUAACCACUCUGAGCAUGGCAUUUGUAAAUGUCAAGGUAGCAACGCCCUCUUUACUGCCCUGUUGUGACAAAUAAGAUAUAUUCCAUAAAUAUGAUCCAUGUAAUAUUAAACCACCAUUUACUGAGUCUCCCCUAUGGAAAGCACUUAGUAGGUGCUCAAAAACUCCUAGUCCUUUCUUCCCCUCUUUCAAUGUGUCACUGCAUCUGGGUAAUUUAUACCCAUUUCCUGUUUUCCUUUGAGAAGUGCAUGUCAUGCUCUGCACAAAAGUGACUCUUAACGGUGGCAUUUCAAGCAUCAUGGCAGAGUGCUGAGACGUUGGUGAAGAUAUUUUAGGCUGGGGUGCAUGGGGAGCACUCUCAGGGCCUCUCAUGCGCAUCCUGAGCCCUUCCUGUGAACCAGACUGACCCUGGCUUCUGUGCCAUUU
Gorilla gorilla gorilla (western lowland gorilla) is the source of this 1298-nucleotide long non-coding RNA. RefSeq lists it as uncharacterized. The transcript has 3 exons. Lineage: Eukaryota; Metazoa; Chordata; Mammalia; Primates; Hominidae. The record is from RefSeq and is a predicted model, not a curated record.